This 3210-nucleotide ribosomal RNA is filed under the name Bacteroides sp. AF20-13LB. Its description in RNAcentral is "bacterial LSU rRNA". It matches the Rfam family "Bacterial large subunit ribosomal RNA". The record is from RNAcentral. Lineage: Bacteria; Pseudomonadati; Bacteroidota; Bacteroidia; Bacteroidales; Bacteroidaceae.
ACAAAAAGUAAGUAAGGGCACAUGGCGGAUGCCUUGGCUCUCGGAGGCGAUGAAGGACGUGAUAAGCUGCGAUAAGCUGCGGGUAGGUGCAAAUGACCUUUGAUCCGCGGAUUUCCGAAUGGGACAACCCGGUACNNNNNNNNNNACUCCGUUUUGAUUAUUGUUUUAUAAUUGAAACACCGUUCUUUGACAUGAUGUGACCAAAAAAAAGUAAAGUUAAAAGCUGAAAGUAUAUAUCGACCAUACGUGAUCGGUAAGACAAAAAGUAAGUAAGGGCACAUGGCGGAUGCCUUGGCUCUCGGAGGCGAUGAAGGACGUGAUAAGCUGCGAUAAGCUGCGGGUAGGUGCAAAUGACCUUUGAUCCGCGGAUUUCCGAAUGGGACAACCCGGUACCUUGAAGAGGUACCAUUCCACAAUGUGGAAGGCUAACGCAGGGAACUGAAACAUCUUAGUACCUGCAGGAAAAGAAAAUAAACAAUGANNNNNNNNNNAAGGCUAACGCAGGGAACUGAAACAUCUUAGUACCUGCAGGAAAAGAAAAUAAACAAUGAUUCCCCCAGUAGUGGCGAGCGAACGGGGAACAGCCCAAACCACCCAUGUUACGGCAUGUGUGGGGUUGUAGGACCACGUCGUGGCAAGAAAGUUGGUGAGCAGAAUGUUCUGGAAAGUACAGCCAUAGAGCAUGACAGCUGCGUAUGCGAAGCCAAGCGAAGCCUAGUGGUAUCCUGAGUAGCGCGGAGCACGAGGAAUUCUGCGUGAAUCUGCCGGGACCAUCCGGUAAGGCUAAAUACUCCCGAGAGACCGAUAGUGAACCAGUACUGUGAAGGAAAGGUGAAAAGCACUUCGAACAGAAGAGUGAAAUAGUUCCUGAAACCAUGUGCCUACAAGCGGUCGGAGCACCUUCUGGUGUGACGGCGUGCCUUUUGCAUAAUGAACCUACGAGUUACUUUUUCCGGCGAGGUUAAGGAUUUCAGAUCUGCAGCCGAAGCGAAAGCGAGUCUGAACAGGGCGUAUAGUCGGAAGGAGUAGACGCGAAACCAAGUGAUCUACCCUUGGGCAGGUUGAAGGAUGGGUAACACCAUCUGGAGGACCGAACCAAUAAGCGUUGAAAAGCUUCUGGAUGACCUGAGGGUGGGGGUGAAAGGCUAAUCAAACUUGGAGAUAGCUCGUACUCCCCGAAAUGCAUUUAGGUGCAGCCUUGACUUAUACUGGCAUGAGGUAGAGCGACUGAUAAGAUGCGAGGGCUUCACCGCCUAUCAAGUCUUGACAAACUCCGAAUGCGUGUCAGUUCUAUGUCAGGAGUGAGGGCAUGGGUGCUAAGGUCCAUGUCCUAAAGGAGAACAAUCCGGACCAACAGCUAAGGUCCCGAAAUGAAUACUAAGUUGAACUAACGAAGUCAGAUUGCUAAGACAGCUAGGAUGUUGGCUUGGAAGCAGCCAUUCAUUUAAAGAGUGCGUAACAGCUCACUAGUCGAGGAGUUUGGCGUGGAUAAUAAUCGGGCAUAAGUAUUCUACCGAAGCUUUGGGAUGAGAAAUCAUCGGUAGGGGAGCAUUCCACUCGGCGUCGAAGGUGAAGCGCGAGCUUUGCUGGAGCGUGUGGAAAAGCAAAUGUAGGUAUAAGUAACGAUAAAGGGGGUGGGAAACCCCCUCGCCGAAAGACUAAGGUUUCCUGAUCAACGCUAAUCGGAUCAGGGUAAGUCGGGUCCUAAGGCUCAGCCGAACGGCGAGGCCGAUGGCAGAACCGGUUAAUAUUCCGGUACUACCUGUGGGAGUGACGUGGAGACGGAGUCGUGACAGCGCCGCGGACUGACGGAAUAGUCCGUUGAAGGGUGUAGAUGCUGAUUGUUCCAGGCAAAUCCGGAGCAAGAGUCGAACCUGACAGUAUGGAGCGUUCUUAGAACAAUCCAAUAGUGCGUGUAAUCAUACUUCCAAGAAAAUCCGCUAAACUUAAUCCUGCAGGUACCCGUACCGCAAACGGACACACGUAGUCGGGUUGAAUAUACUAAGGCGCUUGAGUGAUUCACGGUUAAGGAACUAGGCAAACUGACCCUGUAACUUCGGGAUAAAGGGUCCUCGCUUUACGGCGAGGCGCAGAGAAUAGGUCCAGGCAACUGUUUAACAAAAACACAGGGCUGUGCAAAAUUGAAAGAUGAAGUAUACAGCCUGACACCUGCCCGGUGCUGGAAGGUUAAGAGGAGAUGUCAUCGCAAGAGAAGCAUUGAAUUGAAGCCCCAGUAAACGGCGGCCGUAACUAUAACGGUCCUAAGGUAGCGAAAUUCCUUGUCGGGUAAGUUCCGACCUGCACGAAUGGUGUAAUGAUCUGGACGCUGUCUCAACCGUGAGCUCAGUGAAAUUGUAGUAUCGGUGAAGAUGCCGAUUACCCGCGAUGGGACGAAAAGACCCCGUGAACCUUUACUAUAGCUUAACAUUGAAUUUGGGUAAUUGAUGUGUAGGAUAGGCCGGAGGCUUCGAAGCGGGCACGCCAGUGUCCGUGGAGCCGCUGUUGAAAUACGGCCCUUUGAUUAUUUGAGUUCUAACCCGUUGUUGCGGGGACACUGUUUGGUGGGUAGUUUGACUGGGGUGGUCGCCUCCAAAAGUGUAACGGAGGCUUCUAAAGGUGCCCUCACGACGAUUGGUAACCGUCGGCAGAGUGUAAUGGCAUAAGGGCGCUUGACUGGGAGACUUACAAGUCGAUCAGGUAGGAAACUAGAGCAUAGUGAUCCGGUGUUUCUGUAUGGAAAGGACAUCGCUCAAAGGAUAAAAGGUACUCCGGGGAUAACAGGCUGAUCCCUCCCAAGAGCUCAUAUCGACGGAGGGGUUUGGCACCUCGAUGUCGGCUCGUCACAUCCUGGGGCUGGAGAAGGUCCCAAGGGUUGGGCUGUUCGCCCAUUAAAGUGGCACGCGAGCUGGGUUCAGAACGUCGUGAGACAGUUCGGUCUCUAUCUAUCGUGGGCGCAUGAAAUUUGCGUGGCUCUGACACUAGUACGAGAGGACCGUGUUGGACUGACCUCUGGUUUACCGGUUGUGCCGCCAGGUGCAUUGCCGGGUAUCUAAGUCGGGAUUGGAUAAGUGCUGAAAGCAUCUAAGUACGAAGCCAGCCACAAGAUUAGAUUUCUCAGGGUCGUUGUAGACUACAACGUUGAUAGGAUGCAGGUGUACAGGCAGCGAUGUCAUAGCCGAGCAUUACUAAUUGCCCGUCCACUUUUUGCCU